Molecule: ribosomal RNA, 459 nt
Filed under: uncultured bacterium
Lineage: Bacteria
Description: partial 16S ribosomal RNA
Rfam family: Bacterial small subunit ribosomal RNA
Source: RNAcentral
CCUACGAGGUGCAGCAGUGAGGACUAUUGGUCAAUGGGAGAGAUCCUGAACCAGCCAAGCCGCGUGAGGGAAGACGGCCCUAUGGGUUGUACACCUCUUUUGUCUGAGCACAAUACCCGGGACGUGUCCCGGACUGCGUGUAUCCGAAGAAAAAACUUCGGCUAACUCCGUGUCAGCAGCCGCGGUAAUACGGAGGAUGCGAGCGUUACCCGGAUUUAUUGGGUUUAAAGGGUGCGUAGGCGGUCCGUUAAGUCAGCGGUAAAAUUGCGGGGCUCAACCCCGUCGAGCCGUUGAAACUGGCAGACUUGAGUUGGCGAGAAGAACGCGGAAUGCGCGGUGUAGCGGUGAAAUGCAUAGAUAUCGCGCAGAACUCCGAUUGCGAAGGCAGCGUACCGGCGCCAGACUGACGCUGAGGCACGAAAGCGUGGGGAUCGAACAGGAUUAGAUACCCGUGUAGUC